Molecule: long non-coding RNA, 365 nt
Organism: Theobroma umbraticum
Lineage: Eukaryota; Viridiplantae; Streptophyta; Magnoliopsida; Malvales; Malvaceae
Source: RefSeq, a predicted model, not a curated record
UCCAAGCCUGGAUCAUGAGCUCUCUCAAUCCUGAAAUUUCCGGGAAGAUCUUGACGUCGAACAACAUUCUCUAGUCCUGGAAUGCAAGUGACUGGCUUGUCCAUGUCCUUAUCUGCAACACCAUACAAGUUAAAACCAAGGUUGCUUCCUCUGUAGCAGGCAAUUUCCUGCUUUUCUUAGAUAAAUACAAAUCUCAAUUAUCCAAACAGAGAUACCACAAGAAUGCCAGAUCAAGGUACAUGGAAGUAAGUCCAGAUGCAACAAGCACUCGAUGGACGGAAAGCGAAGACAGGAACCUGAAAUUCCUCUGCAACAUCAAUAACAGAAGAAGACAAUAUCCCAUCUUCUAUAAUGCACGUAGCGGG